UCAGGGUGAAGAAGGAUUUCCGGGCUUCAAAGGCGACGUGGGACCCAAAGGAGAGCGGGGUGACGUUGGCGUUCCAGGCUCUCGUGGCCCCGACGGCCCCGAAGGCCCCAAAGGUCGAAUGGGCCCCAUAGGAGAAGCCGGCCCUAUAGGGGCCAAUGGAGAGAAGGGUAAACUGGGGGUGCCAGGACUGCCGGGUUACCCAGGAAGGCAAGGCCCCAAGGGCUCUCAGGGGUUCCCGGGCUUCCCAGGCACCAAUGGUGAGAAGGGAAUGAGGGUGAGUGACCCUAUAAGGAUAUGGGGU
Molecule: non-coding RNA, 301 nt
Organism: Coturnix japonica (Japanese quail)
Lineage: Eukaryota; Metazoa; Chordata; Aves; Galliformes; Phasianidae
Source: RefSeq, a predicted model, not a curated record